ACGAUCAAUUCAGGGACACCCCCUGGCAUUGGGGGGUUUAGUCUCUCAUAUUAUUCAAAUAAGAUACAAAAUAAAAUUUAUACAUUACAAAAGUACGAGAAUUCCGUUGAUCUUCAAUCGCAUCCGCUCUUGAAGGACCUCCGUUCUUCGCCACUCUUGCUCGCUUCAAUCUUAAUCGUACCCAAUUUGUGAUCUUCAAAAGCCCUUUCCUCCGUAUUCAAAGAUCCCCUAAAU
Molecule: long non-coding RNA, 234 nt
Filed under: Lathyrus oleraceus (garden pea)
Lineage: Eukaryota; Viridiplantae; Streptophyta; Magnoliopsida; Fabales; Fabaceae
Description: Pisum sativum (pea) long non-coding RNA (PSAT_LNC020975)
Source: RNAcentral